Molecule: long non-coding RNA, 416 nt
Organism: Spea bombifrons (plains spadefoot toad)
Lineage: Eukaryota; Metazoa; Chordata; Amphibia; Anura; Pelobatidae
Exons: 3
Source: RefSeq, a predicted model, not a curated record
GAUUAAACUGGUACCAGGUGCCUCCUUGACCGUUCGAAUAGCAGACGGAAGGAGGCACGAGGAGCUCACAAUCUACGACCAACAGGAUAUAGAUCAGAGUUACCUUCCGGAAGAUGAUCGGGGCUCCUACGCAACGACAAUCGACGGACAAAAAAUAUCUUCAUUGAUCCCAGAUGGACAGGAAGACUUUAAAAGUAACCUGGCGCACUGGUUCCGAAAGUACCUCACCCAGUCCGGCCCUACAGAUCCCCUUCAGGAACCAGCAAACCAGAAUUUAAACCGCAAGCUGAAGCUGCAUGAGCCUCGUUUUUAAGACCUCCAAGAAACUACAGAGUAAAACCGCCCCACCUAUCAAUACAAGCCACCGGCAGACACCAGCAUGCCCUGUGUGACGCCAAAAGAACACGCAGACUCCA